CGGACUACACAUGCAGUCGAGCGGAUGAAGGGAGCUUGCUCCUGGAUUCAGCGGCGGAGGGUGAGUAAUGCCUAGGAAUCUGCCUGGUAGUGGGGGAUAACGUCCGGAAACGGGCGCUAAUACCGCAUACGUCCUGAGGGAGAAAGUGGGGGAUCUUCGGACCUCACGCUAUCAGAGAGCCUAGGUCGGAUUAGCUAGUUGGUGGGGUAAAGGCCUACCAAGGCGACGAUCCGUACUGGUCUGAGAGGAUGAUCAGUCACACUGGAACUGAGACACGGUCCAGACUCCUACGGGGGCAGCAGUGGGGAAUAUUGGACAAUGGGCGAAAGCCUGAUCCAGCCAUGCCGCGUGUGUGAAGAAGGUCUUCGGAUUGUAAAGCACUUUAAGUUGGGAGGAAGGGCAGUAAGUUAAUACCUUGCUGUUUUGACGUUACCAACAGAAUAAGCACCGGCUAACUUCGUGCCAGCAGCCGCGGUAAUACGAAGGGUGCAAGCGUUAAUCGGAAUUACUGGGCGUAAAGCGCGCGUAGGUUCAGCAAGUUGGAUGUGAAAUCCCCGGGCUCAACCUGGGAACUGCAUCCAAAACUACUGAGCUAGAGUACGGUAGAGGGUGGUGGAAUUUCCUGUGUAGCGGUGAAAUGCGUAGAUAUGGAAGGAACACCAGUGGCGAAGGCGACCACCUGGACUGAUACUGACACUGAGGUGCGAAGCGUGGGGAGCAAACAGGAUUAGAUACCCUGGUAGUCCACGCCGUAAACGAUGUCACUAGCCGUUGGGAUCCUUGAGAUCUUAGUGGCGCAGCUAACGCGAUAAGUCGACCGCCUGGGAGUACGGCCGCAAGGUUAAAACUCAGAGAAAAUUGGCGCGGGGGAA
RNAcentral lists this ribosomal RNA (872 nucleotides) under Pseudomonas aeruginosa. RNAcentral's name for it is "bacterial SSU rRNA". It matches the Rfam family "Bacterial small subunit ribosomal RNA", at positions 43 to 923 of the family's 1533-position model. Lineage: Bacteria; Pseudomonadati; Pseudomonadota; Gammaproteobacteria; Pseudomonadales; Pseudomonadaceae. The record is from RNAcentral.